UGGCUGGAUAGGCCUCUGGCCAUCCUGAAAACAUGUCUGCUAUAAUUAGUGCAUAUUUGAAUAAGCCAUUCUUUGGCAUUCUGUCGACUUGACUCCUCUGGAAGAGAUAAUGAGGUUUGGCUAGAUGCUUGGGGCUUUCCUCCAUUCUUCCUGAGUUGCCCUUGGCACAAAUGGCACAAGAUUUACAGUAACUGUUGGUCAGAGAGGCAAUUCCUGGUACUUCAGAGUAUUUAUUGAUCAAAAGAGUUCAUGAGGGUUCUGGACAGAUGCUCCGUAGGCCCACUGGACCACUGCUGAGUAUAUGUUCUUGGGCAAGUAGAACUUGAGAUUGUUGAAGUACAGCCUGUCUUUAAGAGUUGCCCCUUUCUUUUCAGGGUCAGUAGCUUGCUUGUUAUUCCUUCGGGAGCUUGAUGUCUGUGGGUAGGAUCUUACAUGGUGAAUAUGGGAGUUUCUUCAGCAGACACUUUUCUGUCCACUUCCCUUAGUGCACUUACAACUUCUUGAACAACUUAGUCAGCCAGAGAGCUGCCACAUGCUUCCUCUGAGUUCAGUCUUCCUUCAGAGAUCUUGCAUG
Molecule: non-coding RNA, 574 nt
Organism: Pelobates cultripes (western spadefoot toad)
Lineage: Eukaryota; Metazoa; Chordata; Amphibia; Anura; Pelobatidae
Source: the annotation of a GenBank genome assembly